This is a long non-coding RNA of Lingula anatina, 252 nucleotides long. The record is from RefSeq and is a predicted model, not a curated record. NCBI's taxonomy places the organism in Eukaryota, Metazoa, Brachiopoda, Lingulata, Lingulida, Lingulidae.
UGACCAGUGUGUGGCCAAGGAUGGCAAUGAUUGUGAUCCUGUCAACUUGUGGUUACAGAUUCCUUUCUUCUGUGGACAUGCAGCAGAGUGUUGGGUCCCUGGCAAUGAGUGGGCUCUCCAGAUGGCCAAGUACAAUCUAGUUAACAAUUACCUGGUCGUAGGCAUCACAGAAGAACUGGAGGAGUUUGUGGCGGUGCUGGAGGCCACUCUGCCAAGGAUGUUUAAAGGAGCGCUUGAUAUGUUUAUCUCAGG